UUGGAGGGCAGUCUGGUGCCAGCAGCCGCGGUAAUUCCAGCUCCAAUAGCGUAUAUUAAAGUUGUUGCAGUUAAAAAGCUCGUAGUUGAACUUCGGGGUUUACCCAUUGGUCAGGCUUAAUUGUCUGCACUGGUGAGAUGAAUCUCUACCUUCUGAGGAACUUUCAUGCCAUUUAUUUGGUGUGAUGGGAAAUCAGGACUGUUACUUUGAAAAAAUUAGAGUGUUUAAAGCAGGCUAACGUCUGAAUACGUUAGCAUGGAAUAAUGAAAUAGGACGGACUGAUUCUAUUUCGUUGGUUUCUAGGAUCACCGUAAUGAUUAAUAGGGAUAGUUGGGGGCAUUAGUAUUCAAUUGUCAGAGGUGAAAUUCUUGGAUUUAUUGAAGACUAACUACUGCGAAAGCAUUUGCCAAGGAUGUUUUCAUUAAUCAAGAACGAAAGUUAGGGGAUCGAAGACGAUCAGAUACCGUCGUAGUCUUAACCAUAAACUAUGCCGACUAGGGAUCGGACGAAGUUAAUUUUAUAAUGACGCGUUCGGCGCCUUACGGGAAAC
This 550-nucleotide ribosomal RNA is filed under the name uncultured Glomeromycotina. Its description in RNAcentral is "SSU rRNA". It matches the Rfam family "Eukaryotic small subunit ribosomal RNA", at positions 548 to 1098 of the family's 1831-position model. The record is from RNAcentral. Lineage: Eukaryota; Fungi; Glomeromycota.